GUGAAACUCAAGAUGGAAGAGACUUUUUCAUACAGAAGACAUGAAGUUGUUCGUGAUGUACCAAUGGUGGGAGGCGUUCAUGGCAAGAUGGCCUGCUCUAUUUGAUUUCCAUGAGAUCAACGCUGAGUUUAAGAGAAUUGCCACCAUCCCCCCUCAAACAAAGUUCCUGGCUCAGCUGGAUCUCCACUUGGACAACCUGGGGAAGUUGGUCAACAGAAGAGGAGAGCUUGGACUAAUACUGGAAAGAAUUGUGGCACAAAUGGAUAAUUGUGAAGAUGUUGAUGCUGGACGUGAGUGUGUCAAGGGAGUGUGUAUCUACAUGGGUGAAGACCCUGGCAUGCUUAUCCGGGAGUAUGUGGGCAUGGAAGAACGUGCCAUCAAUGAGACUGCUGAAGACACCACUGUUCGAAUUUAUCUUCUUAAAGAGCAAGCUUCAGCAGAAGAACAAGAGUUGUCCUUGCAGGCAUCAGGGUGGCGAAGAAUUUGGAUAAUGUAGCAUUUGCUGUGAUAAUGCUAUUUGGACUCAUGUAUGCAUUAAACCUUGCCUACCCUGCUGAC
Molecule: long non-coding RNA, 558 nt
Organism: Oreochromis aureus
Lineage: Eukaryota; Metazoa; Chordata; Actinopteri; Cichliformes; Cichlidae
Source: Ensembl